AUUGAACGCUGGCGGCAGGCCUAACACAUGCAAGUCGAGCGCGAAAGUUCUUCGGAAUGAGUAAAGCGGCGGACGGGUGAGUAAUACAUGGGAAUCUGCCUGGUAGUGGGGGACAACGUUUCGAAAGGAACGCUUAUACCGCAUACGCCCUACGGGGGAAAGGGGGGGAGUCUUCGGACCUCUCGCUAUCAGAUGAGCCC
RNAcentral lists this ribosomal RNA (200 nucleotides) under uncultured bacterium. Its description in RNAcentral is "partial 16S ribosomal RNA". It matches the Rfam family "Bacterial small subunit ribosomal RNA", at positions 30 to 232 of the family's 1533-position model. The record is from RNAcentral.